CCUACGGGCAGCAGCAGUGGGGAAUAUUGGACAAUGGGCGAAAGCCUGAUCCAGCCAUGCCGCGUGUGUGAAGAAGGCCUUCGGGUUGUAAAGCACUUUCAGUGGGGAAGAAAGCCUUGGGGCUAAUACCCUCGAGGAAGGACAUCACCCACAGAAGAAGCACCGGCUAACUCCGUGCCAGCAGCCGCGGUAAUACGGAGGGUGCAAGCGUUAAUCGGAAUUACUGGGCGUAAAGCGCGCGUAGGCGGUCUGAUAAGCCGGUUGUGAAAGCCCCGGGCUCAACCUGGGAACGGCAUCCGGAACUGUCAGGCUAGGGUGCAGGAGAGGAAGGUAGAAUUCCCGGUGUAGCGGUGAAAUGCGUAGAGAACGGGAGGAAUACCAGUGGCGAAGGCGGCCUUCUGGACUGACACUGACGCUGAGGUGCGAAAGCGUGGGUAGCAAACAGGAUUAGAUACCCGGUAGUC
Molecule: ribosomal RNA, 464 nt
Filed under: Vreelandella stevensii
Lineage: Bacteria; Pseudomonadati; Pseudomonadota; Gammaproteobacteria; Oceanospirillales; Halomonadaceae
Description: partial 16S ribosomal RNA
Rfam family: Bacterial small subunit ribosomal RNA
Source: RNAcentral